Cavia aperea (Brazilian guinea pig) is the source of this 120-nucleotide small nuclear RNA. Its record names the gene U4. It matches the Rfam family "U4 spliceosomal RNA". Rfam says of the family: U4 small nuclear RNA (U4 snRNA) is a component of the major U2-dependent spliceosome. The structure of U4 snRNA from yeast and human has been reported. U4 snRNA presents a k-turn RNA motif in the 5p-SL related to recognition of Snu13 protein. The record is from Ensembl. NCBI's taxonomy places the organism in Eukaryota, Metazoa, Chordata, Mammalia, Rodentia, Caviidae.
AGCUUUGCCCUGUGGCAGUGUUGGAGCCAGUGAGGUUUAUCUGAGGCACGAUUAUUGCUAAUUACAAACUGUCCUCAAAUGGCCCUGAGACACCAGUUCAAAUAUACCUACCCAUGGGUG